RNAcentral lists this ribosomal RNA (253 nucleotides) under uncultured bacterium. RNAcentral describes it as "partial 16S ribosomal RNA". It matches the Rfam family "Bacterial small subunit ribosomal RNA", at positions 524 to 776 of the family's 1533-position model. The record is from RNAcentral.
UACGAGGGGUGCAAGCGUUGUUCGGAAUCACUGGGCGUAAAGCGCGUCUAGGCGGCGGAUCAAGUCGGUUGUGAAAGCCUCUGGCUCAACCAGAGAUGUGCAAUCGAUACUGGUCUGCUUGAAUGAUGGAGAGGUGGGCGGAAUUCCGAGUGUAGCAGUGAAAUGCGUAGAUAUUCGGAGGAACACCAGAGGCGAAGGCGGCUCACUGGCCAUCAAUUGACGCUGAAGCGCGAAAGCAUGGGUAGCAAACAGG